This 296-nucleotide long non-coding RNA is filed under the name Panax ginseng (ginseng). RNAcentral describes it as "long non-coding RNA (PGIN_LNC011664)". The record is from RNAcentral. Lineage: Eukaryota; Viridiplantae; Streptophyta; Magnoliopsida; Apiales; Araliaceae.
UUUAACAGCCAGGAUAUGAUUACAACUAUAUAUGAUUUUUGACUAGUAUUUGGAAUUUAAUUAGUUGCCUACUUAACUUUAUGUUUUCUUGCAGAAUCAAGGCACAAAUAGGCAGGCGUGAAGUGCGUUUUUGCUCUGUUAUAGUCAGAUGGUUUUUGGUAUGCAAGAAAUCUAAUAUUUGCUCUAUGUACUAGACAUUUGUUUAGGGUGAUCUUGGAAACCUUUAUUAUCAAAACAUUCCUUUGAAAUAUUCCUCCUACCUUUGACUUGUUUUAUCGAAUCCGUUCUCUUUCUUU